GACGAACGCUGGCGGCGUGCUUAACACAUGCAAGUCGAACGGUAAGACCCUGCUUUUGUCCGGUGCUCGAGUGGCGAACGGGUGUGUAACACGUGAGUUACCUGCCCCUUACUUUGGGAUACCUUCAGGAAACUAGGGCUACUACCGGACAGGAGCUCUUGCAGCAUGGUGGGUAUUGGAAAGUUUCGGCGGUUGGGGAUGGACUCGCGGCUAAUCUGCUUGCUGGUGGGGUAGUGGCUUAGCAAAGCUUUGACCGGUCGCCGGCCAGAGAGGGUGACCGGCCACGUUGGAACGGAGAUACGACCCAGACUCCUACGCGAGGCAGCAGUGGAGAAGAGUACACAAUGGGCGGGAGCCUGAUGCAACAACGCCGCGUCCGGGAUGACGACCAGGGGGUUGUAACGCGCAUUCGCCUGUGACGAAGAGUGAGUGACGGAAAUAGAUAAAGAAGCACCGGCUAACUACGUG
RNAcentral lists this ribosomal RNA (468 nucleotides) under uncultured bacterium. Its description in RNAcentral is "partial 16S ribosomal RNA". It matches the Rfam family "Bacterial small subunit ribosomal RNA", at positions 28 to 507 of the family's 1533-position model. The record is from RNAcentral.